GAUGAACGCUAGCGGCAGGCCUAACACAUGCAAGUCGAGGGGUAGAAUUAGCUUGCUAAUUUGAGACCGGCGCACGGGUGCGUAACGCGUAUGCAAUCUACCUUGUACAGGGGGAUAGCCCAGAGAAAUUUGGAUUAAUACUCCAUGGUAUAAUUGAAUCGCAUGGUUUGAUUAUUAAAGUUCCAACGGUACAAGAUGAGCAUGCGUCCCAUUAGCUAGUUGGUGUGGUAACGGCAUACCAAGGCGACGAUGGGUAGGGGUCCUGAGAGGGAGAUCCCCCACACUGGUACUGAGACACGGACCAGACUCCUACGGGAGGCAGCAGUGAGGAAUAUUGGUCAAUGGUCGGAAGACUGAACCAGCCAUGCCGCGUGCAGGAAGACGGUCCUAUGGAUUGUAAACUGCUUUUGUACGGGAAGAAACACUCCUUCGUGAAGGAGCUUGACGGUACCGUAAGAAUAAGGAUCGGCUAACUCCGUGCCAGCAGCCGCGGU
This 494-nucleotide ribosomal RNA is filed under the name uncultured bacterium. RNAcentral's name for it is "bacterial SSU rRNA". It matches the Rfam family "Bacterial small subunit ribosomal RNA", at positions 28 to 521 of the family's 1533-position model. The record is from RNAcentral.